AGAGUUUGAUCAUGGCUCAGAACGAACGCUGGCGGCAGGCCUAACACAUGCAAGUCGAGCGCUGUAGCAAUACAGAGCGGCGCACGGGUGAGGAACACGUGGGAACGUGCCCAACGGUUUGGAAUAACUCAGGGAAACUUGAGCUAAUACCGGAUACGCCCCUUCGGGGGGAAAGAUUUAUCGCCGAUGGAGCGGCCCGCGUCCGAUUAGCUUGUUGGUGAGGUAAAAGCUCACCAAGGCGACGAUCGGUAGCUGGUUUGAGAGAACGAUCAGCCACACUGGGACUGAGACACGGCCCAGACUCCUACGGGAGGCAGCAGUGGGGAAUCUUGGACAAUGGGGGCAACCCUGAUCCAGCCAUGCCGCGUGAGUGAUGAAGGCCCUAGGGUUGUAAAACUCUUUCGGCGGGGACGAUAAUGACGGUACCCGCAGAAGAAGCUCCGGCUAACUUCGUGCCAGCAGCCGCGGUAAUACGAAGGGGGCUAGCGUUGUUCGGAAUUACUGGGCGUAAAGCGCGCGCAGGCGGUUUUCCAAGUCAGAGGUGAAAGCCCAGAGCUCAACUCUGGAACUGCCUUUGAAACUGGAAAACUAGGGUACGGGAGAGGUGAGUGGAAUUCCGAGUGUAGAGGUGAAAUUCGUAGAUAUUCGGAAGAACACCAGUGGCGAAGGCGGCUCACUGGCCCGUUACCGACGCUCNNNGCGAUAGCGUGGGGAGCAAACAGGANUAGAUACCCUGGUAGUCCACGCCGUAAACGAUGGAUGCUAGCCGUUGGUAAGCAUGCUUAUCAGUGGCGCANCUAANGCAUUAAGCAUCCCGNCUGGGGAGUANGGCCG
Molecule: ribosomal RNA, 834 nt
Filed under: uncultured bacterium
Lineage: Bacteria
Description: bacterial SSU rRNA
Rfam family: Bacterial small subunit ribosomal RNA
Source: RNAcentral